This 237-nucleotide ribosomal RNA is filed under the name uncultured bacterium. RNAcentral's name for it is "partial 16S ribosomal RNA". It matches the Rfam family "Bacterial small subunit ribosomal RNA", at positions 102 to 334 of the family's 1533-position model. The record is from RNAcentral.
CACGGGUGAGUAACACGUAUGCAAUCCACCUGUAACAGGGGGAUAACCCGGAGAAAUCCGGACUAAUACCCCAUAAUAUGGGCGCUCCGCAUGGAGAGUCCAUUAAAGAGAGCAAUCUUGGUUACAGACGAGCAUGCGCUCCAUUAGCCAGUUGGCGGGGUAACGGCCCACCAAGGCGACGAUGGAUAGGGGUUCUGAGAGGAAGGUCCCCCACAUUGGAACUGAGACGCGGUCCAA